Molecule: ribosomal RNA, 465 nt
Filed under: uncultured bacterium
Lineage: Bacteria
Description: partial 16S ribosomal RNA
Rfam family: Bacterial small subunit ribosomal RNA
Source: RNAcentral
GACGAACGCUGGCGGCGUGCUUAACACAUGCAAGUCGAACGGAAAGGCCCCUUUGGGGGUCCUCGAGUGGCGAACGGGUGCGUAACACGUGAGUAACCUGCCCUUGACUUCGGGAUAACUUCAGGAAACUGGGGCUAAUACCGGAUAGGAAUCCUUGCUGCAUGGUGGGGGUUGGAAAGCUUCGGCGGUCUUGGAUGGACUCGCGGCUUAUCAGCUUGUUGGUGGGGUAGUGGCUUACCAAGGCGUUGACGGGUAGCCGGCCUGAGAGGGCGACCGGCCACAGUGGGACUGAGAGACGGCCCAGACUCCUACGGGAGGCAGCAGUGGGGAAUAUUGCACAAUGGGCGGAAGCCUGAUGCAGCAACGCCGCGGGCGGGAUGACGGCCUUCGGGUUGUAAACCGCUUUCAGCAGGGGCGAAGCUUGUGGUGACGGUACCUGCAGAAGAAGCACCGGCUAACUACGUG